RNAcentral lists this long non-coding RNA (425 nucleotides) under Vitis vinifera (wine grape). RNAcentral's name for it is "long non-coding RNA (VVIN_LNC008197)". Lineage: Eukaryota; Viridiplantae; Streptophyta; Magnoliopsida; Vitales; Vitaceae. The record is from RNAcentral.
AAGCUGCCGUAUUGGGCCAUAGAUGCGGGCGAGGUCAGCGAAGUAGGAGCGUAGCUCCGGGUCCAGGAACGGGAGGUGACCGAGGAGAGGCAGCCCGCGUGGCCCCGGAGGCGGUGGUGCGGCACCCUGCUUCUUGAUGAAAACCCAUGCGCACCAAUAGAUGGCAAGGAAGAUUAAGGCUAAAGCGAGGGUCACUCGCGUAAGUUCGUCGCUGCUGUUGCUGCUUUCCCACCACAACGACCAUUCUCUGGAUGAUGUUAGUUUCCUGAGAAAAUCUGAGAUGGGUUUCAUGGUGUAUGAGUAUUGGGCACGUGGAUAUCUUUAAGAUGGCAGUGAUACAGUGCUAUCCUGCGGCAGUGGUUACUAAUUGCCAACGCUAGCCUCCAUUUAUAGCUAGCCGGUAAAUCCAAUUUGUCAGAUAGUAC